UGUCAUAUGGGGAUCAUAACAUCUUCAUACUGGAUUGUCUUACGUGUCAUUAAGUAAGUGGGCCUUAGGCAUCAAGCAUAUGGCCUCCGAGGUGCAGUGUCUGCCGGCGCCAUGGGUCUCUGCCACCACCUGGUCGUCAUCGUUUCUGUGUCUUCUCCUGUGUUUAAGAACAAAGAUCCUGCAGCCUCCGUGCACUCUGGUCAGCUGACCACACAGCUUUUUAGCAAAAUAAUCAAAUAUAAGUACAAGUUUAUAUGGAAAAUAGAAAAUUUAGGUAGAUUUUUUACAUGAUAAUGCAUUUGACAACACGGGGUUUGAAUCCUGGCACCGCCACUGGCGAGCACCCUCUUAUGUGCCCUGCUUCUGCCGUCGACUUCCCUUCCCUGAUCUACUCUGCUGCUGUGGUGAGGAAGAAAGCUGUGGUUGUGGGCUUGUGGCUGCUGUGACGAGGAAGAAGGCUGUGGUUGUGGCUGCUGGAGAGGAAGAAGACAGUGGUUGUGACUGCUGUGGGGAGGAAGAAGGGAGUGUUAGUGUCUGCUGUGGUGAGGAAGAAGGGAGUGGUUGGGGCUCUUGUUGUGGG
Molecule: long non-coding RNA, 580 nt
Filed under: Brachypodium distachyon (stiff brome)
Lineage: Eukaryota; Viridiplantae; Streptophyta; Magnoliopsida; Poales; Poaceae
Description: long non-coding RNA (BDIS_LNC001506)
Source: RNAcentral